AUUGAACGCUGGCGGCAGGCUUAACACAUGCAAGUCGAGCGGGGUGAUGGUGCUUGCACUAUCACUUAGCGGCGGACGGGUGAGUAAUGCUUAGGAAUCUGCCCAUUAGUGGGGGACAACAUCUCGAAAGGGAUGCUAAUACCGCAUACGUCCUACGGGAGAAAGCAGGGGAUCACUUGUGACCUUGCGCUAAUAGAUGAGCCUAAGUCGGAUUAGCUAGUUGGUGGGGUAAAGGCCUACCAAGGCGACGAUCUGUAGCGGGUCUGAGAGGAUGAUCCGCCACACUGGGACUGGGACACGGCCCAGACCCCUACGGGAGGCAGCAGUGGGGAAUAUUGGACAAUGGGGGGAACCCUGAUCCAGCCAUGCCGCGUGUGUGAAGAAGGCCUUAUGGUUGUAAAGCACUUUAAGCGAGGAGGAGGCUUACCUAGUUAAUACCUGGGAUAAGUGGACGUUACUCGCAGAAUAAGCACCGGCUAACUCUGUGCCAGCCGCCGCGGUAA
Molecule: ribosomal RNA, 503 nt
Filed under: uncultured bacterium
Lineage: Bacteria
Description: partial 16S ribosomal RNA
Rfam family: Bacterial small subunit ribosomal RNA
Source: RNAcentral